AAGUCGUAACAAGGUUUCCGUAGGUGAACCUGCGGAAGGAUCAUUAACAAAUUCAAAACUCGUGUUGUGUGUCUUUGAUGUGCUGACUGUUGUUGGUGUGUAUAAUUAUACGUAUGUAUAAUGUGCAACUAAUUUACACCAGCAUGUCAUGGCAUACUUCUAUAACACAAAUCACAUUUAUAAUAUAAUUGACAACAAAGGGAAAACCACGAAUUAAUCGUAUAAACAACUUUUAACAAUGGAUCUCUUGGCUCUC
Molecule: unclassified non-coding RNA, 256 nt
Filed under: fungal sp.
Lineage: Eukaryota; Fungi
Description: partial internal transcribed spacer region
Rfam family: Eukaryotic small subunit ribosomal RNA (bases 1-46)
Source: RNAcentral